UAUCAAAUUUUCCUCGCGAUCGUGCAAACUGGCCGAUAUAAUACAAAAUAUUAAUAGAAUUGCUCGUACAUGUGGAAUUAAGUAAUAAUCGUUCUUCCUUACGAUAUCAAAUGUCUCGAUGCUUUCGUCUGGCACUCGUGUUGAUAUUUCCAACACGUAAACCUGGAAAUGCUACAACACAGGCUUCCAUUCAGCGAAUAAUUCACUGUCCCAGCAUUGACACUGACGGAAGACCGGACAAUUGGUUCCCCCCGCCCUUUCUUUGAUCUCAGAAAUAUCGUUUGCAUCUCAAGGACGCCUUGACGAGGAAGUUGCAAGUUUUCUAAUGACGUCCGCGAUCGCCCACUGCUUCUGGAUGCGAAUCAAGCCCGUGAUUUCCUCGCGUCUAGAAGAGACGCGUACGUCGACUGCGAAAUUCCGACUUUCGUCGAACUCGAGUCUGGAUGAUUAUUUAUUUUCAGCUGGCAAAGCUAACCUGCGACGUUCGCGAUUUCCUACUCAAGGAUUCUUUCGUGUACGCAGCCACUCUGGAUCGUUUCGGAAUAAAUAUCUUUGGCAUCGGGCAGCCUUUCCUCGUCGCUGGAAUAGCUGCCAAAUUCUGCCUAUUUACAAAUCGAGACAUGGCUCGCGUUUAGCUACCGUGUACAUUGAAAACCAUAAAGCUUUCGAUUGAACUGGUUUCUACGUAAACAGUUUUACAGAUAACAGCAAAGAGAAAUAAAUACAAUAUUCCCGUUAGUUGGACUGAUUUGAAUAAAGCGUCGCGAGUUGAGUGAACCACGUUUCGCACGACAGUCGCAUAUGCUCGCAUGGUUCACGGUUUAAUUCUGUGCCUCUGUUAUCGAUAAUUUACAACUCUAGUUUAAACAGAUAUUCUUAAUCGCAAGAUGACGAUUAAGUAAGUGAUUAAAUAUAAAUGCACAGAAUUAAUGUCUACAUCUACUAAAUACUUUUAUAAGACAUGUUUCCACGUGUGCGUAAAGAAUGUGGGUUUACAGUUGUCGGUAAAUAAUAACGCCGCGCCGUUGCUUCGCAAUCAAUUGCCGUGACUGCGUCAGUGAAAGGCCACGCAAAUGACUCGUUAGCUUCGUACGUGACAAAAUGUUGCCGCGCGUGUUCGAAAGGAACGAUCUCUGUAAAGGGUGAAGGAUUCAUCUGCCGUCCACCUUUCCCCAUUGUCGAGGCGUCUACGCGUUACUCACCUGACCAUAAAGAUAACUUUCGUGAAUCAUAAAAGUGACUAUGCAUCGGUGUGCCGUGGGUGUAUCCAUGCGUGGCUCGCACACGUACUCGGAAGCGGAUAGGCGCGUACAGUCGAUGAAUAGCCAACUCGAAUCAUUAACGUUCGAUAUCGUACGCUUUUACGCGCCGCCCAAAAUCGUCGAUAUUUUAGUCGUAGUAAUUCGUUGCCACGGGUUAAUAACGCAGAAGAAGAUAUAGGGGAUGCGAUUUCUGCACCGCUGAGGUCGAUCAUUCUUUCUCUGCUCGGCCACCGUAUACACGCAACGGAAAACACACGAGCGUUCGCGUGCGUGUCGAGCGACGGUUCCCAUGGGAUGCGAAGGAUGUACGCGAUAUUUUCAAGUUUCCCAGCAGUCCCACGGCGACUUCCGGUUCCGCGGCUAGUUAUUCGCUUCCGGUGCCAUGACAAUUUUCCAUCGGCGAGGAUAAUGUCUGUGGAAAAAUAAUUGACGCUGUACGAUUCCAUUUCAUCGGACUGGAAAUUGCAAGAACGCGAAGCAGUUAUGUUUUCAUACAUACGUACCGAGCCCAAGAACCAUUGUACAGCAUAAUUUUGUCUCGUUCCCUUGAUUUAUCCGUGUCUCCAAUUACGGUACUUGGUUGCAUAAUGACGAGUGCCUGGAAGACGUCGUAACGUUACAACGAAAACGUACAAGUGUACACGUAACGGGUAACCGAACGAAACGUUUCUCUACGACCUUGAUCCUUUUUUUCCCCGUGAAAUAUGGCGCAGGUGUUUACCUGGCCGGUCGGGAUGCAACCAGGCCUGUCCGUCCGUCGUGCGCAAGCCAACUUGAAACCGGAAGCGUCGCUUUCUGCCCUGCUGGCCACGAACAAUGAGAUCGAGAGAUUCCUGGGAGGACGCGAGCACGAUCAAACGCUAAGGAUACAUUGACACCGACGUUUCCGGUUGUUUGUGCCUGCCCGAGCGAUCGAUAGAGCGUCGAGACAAUGGAGAAGAUCUUUUCACGGCCAGUGUCGCCGCGUAGUUCGAGUUCGGACGGCAACAGGUGUGAUGCAACAGAGUGGAUACGAAGGAUCUUCCCUCUCGCUUCUCGAUCGUUCCUGCAUCCACGAGGGAACGGGCCGUUUAUUCGAAACACCUAAAAACGCACGAAGGAACAUCGUUAAACCGAAGAAACUGGUUGGUGAUUGGAAAUGGGAUGAAUCGAAGUCGAGAUUUUCACCCUUCGAGCGCUAUGGCCGCAUGUAUGGGCAAUUAUCGAUGUUUUU
Hylaeus volcanicus is the source of this 2475-nucleotide long non-coding RNA. RefSeq lists it as uncharacterized. The record is from RefSeq and is a predicted model, not a curated record. NCBI's taxonomy places the organism in Eukaryota, Metazoa, Arthropoda, Insecta, Hymenoptera, Colletidae. The transcript has 3 exons.